CCUACGGGAGGCAGCAGUGGGGAAUAUUGGGCAGUGGGCGAAAGCCUGAUCCAGCAAUGGCGCGGGAUGAGAGGGUCAUCCCGCUGUAAAGCACUUUAAGUUCGAGGAAGACAGUUACCUAAUACACGCGGCAUGACGGACCACACAUAUGGCCCUUUUU
RNAcentral lists this ribosomal RNA (160 nucleotides) under uncultured Alphaproteobacteria bacterium. Its description in RNAcentral is "partial 16S ribosomal RNA". Lineage: Bacteria; Pseudomonadati; Pseudomonadota; Alphaproteobacteria. The record is from RNAcentral.